CAUUAGAUGGCUGAAAGUAAGCAAUGAUCUCUUAAAUCAUCUUAUAGUAAUUAACAUCUACUUCUAAUG
This 69-nucleotide transfer RNA is filed under the name Scolytinae sp. BMNH 1274712. RNAcentral's name for it is "tRNA-Lys". Lineage: Eukaryota; Metazoa; Arthropoda; Insecta; Coleoptera; Curculionidae. The record is from RNAcentral.